GUUGUGCAAGCAGGCUCUGGAGACCCGCAGGCUCCUGGGCAGAGGGCUGCCUUCUGUGUGGGCUUGCCCCUCGCCACACCUGGCCAGGAGCCUCCCCCAGCCCCGUGACCCUUGUGUCAGAGCCUGGCCAGAUGACAGACGGCCUGGGGUGCAGGCGAGACCCACUGAACUGGCAGCUGAGGACAGGUCCAGGCCCAGUGGCUGGGGGACUUCUCAGAGCAGGUACCACAACAGCUACCCAAGGACUCAGGACUUUUCUCCCACAGCCAGACUUGGUGAUUGCAUGAAGGAGCCCAGCCUCGGAUGACCUUUCCCCGUGACAAGGCACUAGGAGAGCACAGACCUCCCCACACAAACACUGAGACACCCAACCUUGCGUGACCUUGAGCCAAACACAACUCUUAGGAUGUAACCUGCUUUACAAGAUGAGAAAGACACGAGUAAAAACAUCAGCAGACUCUGGAAGGCGAGCUGGUGGAUUCAACUGGGACUCAGAAGACUGCACUUGAGGAGAUCAUCGUGAGUUGAAGAUCUCUUGCUUAGUCUCGCAGAAACUUCAUCAAGUCUAGCUCACCUGGGAGUCAGUUGGUGCCGGCGAAUCAAUUCGUGCCAGUGAAAUUCACCAAGAGCCUGAUUUACAAACUAGAGAGCCAUGGCCUUAAUUUUAGAGCAAAAGACAAACUUUUCCAAUGAAUAUAGUUUUCUUGUCCAAUAGCUAGGACACCCCCCUCCACCUGCUGUGUACUAAUGAAGCAGAUUUUUUUUUUUGAGUUUUGCUCUUGUUGCCCGGCUGGAGUGCAAUGACACCAUCU
RNAcentral lists this long non-coding RNA (812 nucleotides) under Homo sapiens (human). Its description in RNAcentral is "HSALNT0332152". Lineage: Eukaryota; Metazoa; Chordata; Mammalia; Primates; Hominidae. The record is from RNAcentral.